UGAGACGCAGGUUUUGUUUAUUUUGGGCAAAAUUAUUAUCAGAAAAAAACCACCCGAUUGGUUCUUGCGAGUCUUGAGUCGAACAGGCGAUACAGUUGAAUGACCACGACGACCUUACGAUCAUGAGCAAAUCAAAAAAACUAAAAAGGUUCUGUG
Molecule: long non-coding RNA, 156 nt
Organism: Drosophila obscura
Lineage: Eukaryota; Metazoa; Arthropoda; Insecta; Diptera; Drosophilidae
Exons: 3
Source: RefSeq, a predicted model, not a curated record